GCUCCAGGGGCCCAGCACAUAGUGACCACCAAGGCUGCUCUCACAGCCCCAUGCCGGGUGCUCUAGGCCAGCAAUAGAUAAGUCCAGGAAGAUGGCAGGAAGCCCUGGAGUUCUGGAAUGAAGCCACCAACUCUCUUUGCAACUUCGCUCCUGUGUCACAACGAGGGAGCGAGUUCUGAGAAGUACAUGGUGGCUGCUUUGUCUCUGUCGCACUCACACACCAUGACGGGGCCUGCUGCACCCCACGGCUGUGUGGUGUGGCCUGUGCUAUACUGAACACCGUGGGCACCCGGAUCACAAUGGGAAUGUCCCUGAAGCGACACACAUCUAAAUCUAGGACAGAGACAGAAAAAUGAGGCAUAAAGGCCUAGGGCCCUCAUCGUGGCCGCAGAACUGGGCGUUGCUCUGGGUGCUGUCAAAGCCUGACCUUCCCUUGGCUCUCUAGAACAUCGGCCCCAUGCAGUGCUCCAGACCAAAAGGAUUUGGGGUUGGCACAGCUUGAGAGCUGCUAAUGACCAUGCAAACCCUCAGAAACGCACUGGCAUUUGAAAGCCCCUGGGGAGCCCCUGGGUGCAGCCAGCACCCUGAGCCUGCUGUGCCCUGGUUUGAGACCCCUCCCCUGUGCUCUGAGGGACCAGGCCCACUGCAGGGUGCUGGCUUCCAGCAUUUGGGUGGGAAGGGAUGAAGUGGUGCUGCUCUCGGUACUAGGGAAGUGGGACAGUGUCACACAGGAAGUCCCGAGAGCCAGCCAGGGAGCUCUAGCUGCAGGAAGUAAUACACUUCACUAGCUCUCAGGCUGCCUGACCGGAAAGAGAAGGCAGAGUAGCCACACGGAGCCACAUGGGGACACAACCUGGGGACACAGAGCAGCCUUGUCUGGAGGCUGCUCCCUAGGAAGUCUGUCUUCACAGCAGCGAGCUGGAGCAAUUCUGCCCUGGGGGACCCAGGAGAACGUCCAUUGAGCAGCAAGCAGGCUCCUCCUGAAUCUUCCCUCUAGGCACUGCCAUUAGUGUGGCUCAAUUUUAGCAACUCCCAGGCUUUGCCUCUCUCCAUUCCUUCUCCCAGCUCUGGGAGAGGACAUUCCCAUUGGCCUUCGAGGACAAAGGAAGCAUCAUGAGGACAAUUUUGCUGGCCUGCCUUUUGGCUUCUGGCUCUGGGAGAGGACAAUCCAAGAGGCCUCCACCCUGGAACCAGUGACAGGCCCAGGGAUUUUCGGAGCUUGUGGCAGGAAGCUGCAGCACUUACCGGGCCAGGCUUGGAGCAAGUCAAGAAUAAGAAUCAUCUGAGGUUGAUCCUGAGGCUCCUGCACCUGACAGCUGGUCCUCCGGGAGAGGUGGGUAGCCACUGCACGUGCCCAGAGGACAAACCCAGUUCUC
Molecule: long non-coding RNA, 1376 nt
Filed under: Heterocephalus glaber (naked mole-rat)
Lineage: Eukaryota; Metazoa; Chordata; Mammalia; Rodentia; Bathyergidae
Description: lncRNA (ENSHGLG00100050610.1)
Source: RNAcentral